RNAcentral lists this ribosomal RNA (479 nucleotides) under uncultured bacterium. RNAcentral describes it as "partial 16S ribosomal RNA". It matches the Rfam family "Bacterial small subunit ribosomal RNA", at positions 28 to 507 of the family's 1533-position model. The record is from RNAcentral.
GAUGAACGCUGGCGGCGUGCUUAACACAUGCAAGUCGAACGAAGCACUUAAGAUUGAUUCUUCGGAUGACGUCUUUUGUGACUUAGUGGCGGACGGGUGAGGAACGCGUGGGUAACCUGCGUCACACAGGGGGAUAACAGUUAGAAAUGACUGCUAAUACCGCAUAACCCGAUAGGAACGCAUGAUCCAGACGGAAAAGAAUUAUCGGUGUGAGAUGGACCCGGGUCGGAUUAGCUAGUUGGUGAGGUAACGGCCCACCAAGGCGACGAUCAGUAGCCGGCCUGGGAGGCUGCCCCGCCACAUUGGAACUGAGACCCAGCCCCCACUCCUACGGGAAGCAGCAGUGGGGUAUAUUGCGCAAUGGGGCAAACCCUGAUGCAGCGGCGCCGCGUGAGUGAAGAAGUAUUUCGGUAUGUAAAUCUCUAUCAGCAGAGAAGAAAAUGACGGUACCUGACUAAGAAGCCCCGGCUAACUACGUG